CCAAAAGCGAAGGCAAUCUUCUGGAACAUUACUGACGCUGAGGCGCGAAAGCGUGGGGAGCAAGCAGGAUUAGAUACCCUGGUAGUCCACGCCCUAAACGAUGAAUGUUAGUCGUCGGGUAGCUAGUCUAUUCGGUGAUGCAGCUAACGCAUUAAACAUUCCGCCUGGGGAGUACGGUCGCAAGAUUAAAACUCAAAGGAAUAGACGGGGACCCGCACAAGUGGUGGAGCAUGUGGUUUAAUUCGAAGAUACGCGAAGAACCUUACCUAGCCUUGACAUAUAUUAGAACUCAGCAGAGAUGCAGAGGUGCCUUCGGGAGCUUUUAUACAGGUGCUGCACGGCUGUCGUCAGCUCGUGUCGUGAGAUGUUGGGUUAAGUCCCGCAACGAGCGCAACCCUCGUCACUAGUUACUAACGGUUCGGCCGAGGACUCUAGUGAGACUGCCUUCGUAAGGAGGAGGAAGGUGAGGACGACGUCAAGUCAUCAUGGCCCUUACGGCUAGGGCAACACACGUGCUACAAUGGCCAGGACAGUGAGACGCAAUACCGCGAGGUGGAGCAAAUCUAUAAACCUGGUCUCAGUUCGGAUUGUAGUCUGCAACUCGACUACAUGAAGCUGGAAUCACUAGUAAUCGUAGAUCAGCUAUGCUAUCGGUGAAUACGUUCCCGGGUCUUGUACUCACCGCCCGUCACACCAUGGGAGUUGAUUUCACCCGAAGCGGGGAAGCUAAACU
This 733-nucleotide ribosomal RNA is filed under the name uncultured Campylobacterota bacterium. RNAcentral's name for it is "bacterial SSU rRNA". It matches the Rfam family "Bacterial small subunit ribosomal RNA", at positions 708 to 1441 of the family's 1533-position model. The record is from RNAcentral. Lineage: Bacteria; Pseudomonadati; Campylobacterota.